Molecule: long non-coding RNA, 221 nt
Filed under: Homo sapiens (human)
Lineage: Eukaryota; Metazoa; Chordata; Mammalia; Primates; Hominidae
Description: non-protein coding lnc-DCAF12L2-4:1
Source: RNAcentral
AAAUGGUGGGGCUGGAAUACAACCCAAGAAGACUACUAAGAUUUGAGGUUCCAAUUAAAACUGUGUUUGGGCCAUUGCAUUACUGCCUGCUAGUGCUUAAUCUUCACCGAAAAUCUCGUCACUUAUUUUAAAACAAAAGAAGAACAAAGUAAGGAGAAAAGUAAUGAAAUGCAGCAUAACAAAUCAUUCAAAGUAAAGGGAAGUAGCUUUUUAAAAACGAU